CUACGAAUGCUAGACAGUCGAGAGUAAACCUACAAAGGUGUAGGAGGGAACUCACAGAGGGGACUUGGGAACGCGGGGGGAAAGAGAAGGGGUGAGGGCAGUCGCCCGACCUCGUUUAAUGGGACACAGGAAACGGAAAUGCCCCGGGACCACCGGCGGUCACACUUCCCUGUAACCCAAAGGCCGAGUCCGCGCUCGGUCUCGGCUCAGGGCCGGAGAAACGCGGAGCGGCCCCGACUGCUGGAAAUGACAGCGGCACUUUCUCUCCGUCCCCUCGGGCUCCCCGCUGCAUCCCCGCGGCGGGGCAGGCCGGGAGCGGGGCCGACACGCCUCCGGCAGUGGCAGGGACGCAAACAGACGGGUCCGGAGGAAGGAAACUCCGGCAACGACGAGAUCACUGGACAAUAUGAAUGCUCUGCCUCAGUAAAGCACAAAACCUACAAAGCUACCUGGAACAUGUGAGCAAGAGGAAUUUCAUCUCCCACCUUGGUGACCUGUUGAACAUCAAAGUUAGUGUUUAUUGCAUGUGUGGCUGAAGUCUUUGGGGAAAAGCUAAUGAUGUUAUUAAAGCAUUUAACAGUACAUUUGAUGUGGAGAAGGGCUUUGUGAAAGUAUCCUAUAAGUAUUACCCUUGAAGAUGUCUGUAGUGGCCAGAAAAGGAAGCUCAAGAACUUUCUGAACAAAGCUUUUUAUCCUCAAAGGGACUCCUUGGUGAUACCUUGCAUGAAGAAGCCAUCUAAAUAAUUAUAUCUAAUUACUGUAUUUUAAACAAAAACUUUUAAAACAAAUUAUUGAGCUGUUUUUGGCUGUGGCUAGAAAUACCUGCAAAAAAGAACUGAUCCAUUCUAAGUUUCCAGUGACCAGACAAAUUGCUUAAAUCCAGCCUUGUUAAUAAUGCAAGCAACCAUGUCCUUCCCAAACAGACCUGUGAGUAGUAGUAAAGUAAGAAAAGGCUCUCAGGUCAAGAGUUCUUCAGAAAUUUAUUGUUCUGGGGGGAUUCUCAUACACCUGCCUUUUGUGCAGGGCUUCCUUUCUGAGCAGGAUGAGGCUGCAGGUGCCAAAUUCCAGUCUCAGUUUAGCAGAUACAGCUCUCUGGCUUUAGUUCUGCCCUAGUUGGUCUGGUGAUGACAAAAUACCAUGAUUAAUAUGAUCAGCACUUCCUGAAUCCCAAAGGACUGGCCACAGAUGAGUUUGUAGCAAAUAUAAAUUGAUAAUUAACACUCUCCAAAUUCCCUAAUUAAUGCAGACCAGGGAACUGUUACAGUGUUAAGUUAUCUUAACUUUCCAUACUCAGUUUGUCCUUUGACAAUCCAAGAGGAGUUUAUUUCAAACAAGGGAUGUGAUUAGCUAAUGCUGAGAAGAAUAUUGGGAUUAUCAGCAACAGCAGUCCUGGGGAAAGCAGUUCAAUCAGUAUUUAGUUUACCACUUGAUUUCCUAAUGAUUUAUUCCAACAGCAAAGACU
This 1462-nucleotide long non-coding RNA is filed under the name Parus major (Great Tit). RNAcentral describes it as "lncRNA (ENSPMJG00000003962.1)". Lineage: Eukaryota; Metazoa; Chordata; Aves; Passeriformes; Paridae. The record is from RNAcentral.